RNAcentral lists this ribosomal RNA (62 nucleotides) under uncultured bacterium. RNAcentral's name for it is "partial 16S ribosomal RNA". The record is from RNAcentral.
UGGACUUGACAUCUCGGAGAUUUUUUAGAGAUAAGAAAGUGCGUUUCGGGGAAUCCGAAGAC